This 253-nucleotide ribosomal RNA is filed under the name uncultured bacterium. RNAcentral describes it as "partial 16S ribosomal RNA". It matches the Rfam family "Bacterial small subunit ribosomal RNA", at positions 524 to 776 of the family's 1533-position model. The record is from RNAcentral.
UACGUAGGAGGCGAGCGUUGUCCGGAAUUACUGGGCGUAAAGGGCUCGUAGGCGGCCAACUAAGUCAGACGUGAAAUCCCUCGGCUUAACCGGGGAACUGCCUCUGAUACUGGAUGGCUUGAGAUUGGGAGAGGGAUGCGGAAUUCCAGGUGUAGCGGUGAAAUGCGUAGAUAUCUGGAGGAACACCGGUGGCGAAGGCGGCCACCUGGACGGUAACUGACGCUGAGACGCGAAAGCGUGGGGAGCAAACAGG